AUGCAGAAUAAACAGAAGCACACGAUCAAGAGUGUGUCUAACUCCUCUCUUCUGGAAAUGACGUGUCUUGAAAUGCUUGAUCUGACAGUCGCGCCCUCUCAAGAAAGAAGUAUCACAGAGGAAAGGCAAGUACAUUUAAUGAGCUCGGUUCACUGCUGGGUCACACCAGAGCAGAAGGACGAGACCUCCAUUGCUGGGAAGACCACCCAGAGAGGAGAAAGCUGCGCUUGCCCAGGAGGGAGAGCAAUUGUAUGGACAGGAAAGCAGGAAAGUACCUUUGAUAUCCAGGAGUCCAGAGGACUUCACCAAAUAGUGGCUAAAGCCCCUGCAGAUGUAACCCCCAAGCCUCCUCUCCAUUGGUCUUCUGCAG
This 370-nucleotide long non-coding RNA is filed under the name Zonotrichia albicollis (white-throated sparrow). RNAcentral's name for it is "lncRNA (ENSZALG00000014508.1)". The record is from RNAcentral. Lineage: Eukaryota; Metazoa; Chordata; Aves; Passeriformes; Passerellidae.